CGUGCGCCAAUUUGUUUGUCAGGACGAUCUCUAGUGGCACUCGCGCAUUAAAUGCAACAAUUGAUUGAUUGGGUGUCUGUUUAUAACGUUUUGUAGUCUUUUAUUUAUUUUCUAUUGCCUAUGAGAUAGAUAUGCCUAUGAGUUUUGCUUCACGACUUUGUUCUCCAAUUUGUGGCUCCUUUUUCGUAUCACACAGUUUUAUUUCCAUGAACGCUAUAAUCAUAAACUUUUUAUUACUAUUCAUCCGUAGACUUACGAGUGCGCUUGAGUGGAAAAAAGUUGAGUGGUUGUGUGAUUUAACGGGGAGAGGGCCCCGUACAGAUUUCAAAAAAUACAUGACGCACUUCCAAUAGUACAACCGAUGAAGUGUAACUGUAACACAUCUGCCUCACGACGAUUGAUUCGUAAUGAUUGCUGUGCGGUUUGGCAACCUACUGCGGAAAGUUCUGUAUCAAUGUUUUGACGGUAAUAAUAUGGCAACCGUGGAGAGAAGGAUAAAUUAUUGCUGACGGCAUAAUUUUGGCUCUGACAUUUCAAAGGAUGCGGUAGUUAUCUUAAGAGGCAGGUGGAAAAAUGAAAUUUUGCAAAUGGGUACAACGAAUAUGUAAGAUGCUGUUUUUAGGACUAUCGACGAGGCUGUGGUCGCGGUGUGACAUUUCUGAGAAGUUAUAAAAUCGUUGGAGAACUUUGACACACAAAGAAAAAAGUACUCAGCUGCUGUAUUUGAAGUUGUACAUUAUUACUAUUAUUUAUCAUGAAGCGGGGUUCAUUAGGAUAUUUUAUUCUCACCCCCUUGGCUUACUCGUCACCCAUCGAUAUAGUCCGCAAAGGAAUUUUUUAAGGACUCCAUAAGCUGUUGGUGUGAUCCUGUCUUGCGGCUAGGCGCUGCGUAACUACCAAGUCGGCUGUGCGGAAAAUCUUAGCUGGCUUCGUCAGACAUCCUCCACUAUUAAGUACCUGCCUAAUAUUAAUGCCCGUUCAUCUGAA
Long non-coding RNA from Plodia interpunctella (Indianmeal moth), 987 nucleotides. RefSeq lists it as uncharacterized. The record is from RefSeq and is a predicted model, not a curated record. The transcript is spliced from 4 exons. Lineage: Eukaryota; Metazoa; Arthropoda; Insecta; Lepidoptera; Pyralidae.